GCGCGUUCCCCUCUGGAGGUUUUAACCUUCAUAAUUGGCCGGGCUUACAGUCCGGCCUUUUUUAUUGAGCAU
RNAcentral lists this small RNA (72 nucleotides) under Mesorhizobium tianshanense. Its description in RNAcentral is "suhB". The stretch from base 1 to 60 matches the Rfam family "Alphaproteobacterial ar15". The record is from RNAcentral. Lineage: Bacteria; Pseudomonadati; Pseudomonadota; Alphaproteobacteria; Hyphomicrobiales; Phyllobacteriaceae.